This 453-nucleotide ribosomal RNA is filed under the name Triticum aestivum (bread wheat). Its description in RNAcentral is "partial small subunit ribosomal RNA". Lineage: Eukaryota; Viridiplantae; Streptophyta; Magnoliopsida; Poales; Poaceae. The record is from RNAcentral.
AUGUGGAGGAAUGGAGUGACAGUCACAAAACAUGGUGUUACUGCAAAUUUCAUUGAUGUAACAAUUGAUGAUGGAAGAAAAUGGAGGUGUACAUGCUUCUAUGGAGAGCCAGCGAAAGAGAAUAAACAUAAAUCAUGGGAUUACCUACGUGCACUGCACCAACUAAGGGAUGAACCAUGGAUAGCAUUCGGUGACUUUAGUGAAAUUUUAUUCAUGCAUUAGAAGGAAGGUGGAGCAGCUAGAGAGCAAAGAACCAUGCAAGCAUUCAGGGACAUUCUAUAUGAAUGUGAGCUUGAAGAUAUGGAGGCUACGAGGGACGUUUAUACAUAGAGUAGAGGGACGGUUAAGGAAAGGCUUGAUAGAGCUAUUUGCAACUCACGGUGGAGUCAGUUUUUUCCUAAUGCAGGGGUCAUCAACGGUGAAAUGACUAAGUCGGAUCACCGGCCGUUGGUG